CACAGGCACUGGGGGCUCUUAGAUCUGACCAGUAGAAUACACCUGUAUAGGAGUCCUGUUGUACCUGUAGUGUGUCUAAAACAAAACUUUUGACUGUUUCCAGAGAUCACAGCUUGAUCCAAGAAUGAAUUUUAAUUUUCAAAAAUGCCCAAUCUGGUGAUUAGGGUAAAUGGUAAAGUUGUAAGGGAUAGUCAUAAAAUAGGAUCCUUAAGUCUAAAGUCAAUGCUUCUGGAAAGGUUUCAGUUGUGUUGUGAAAUGUGGAAAGAGGCUUAGAAUACAUGCCUUAGCUCAAAGGGGGGAGAAUUUGAAUGAUGGCAAUAAUUUA
This 325-nucleotide long non-coding RNA is filed under the name Bos taurus (domestic cattle). RNAcentral describes it as "long non-coding RNA NONBTAT020382". The record is from RNAcentral. Lineage: Eukaryota; Metazoa; Chordata; Mammalia; Artiodactyla; Bovidae.